RNAcentral lists this ribosomal RNA (521 nucleotides) under Bifidobacterium longum subsp. suillum. Its description in RNAcentral is "bacterial SSU rRNA". It matches the Rfam family "Bacterial small subunit ribosomal RNA", at positions 164 to 700 of the family's 1533-position model. Lineage: Bacteria; Bacillati; Actinomycetota; Actinomycetes; Bifidobacteriales; Bifidobacteriaceae. The record is from RNAcentral.
UAAUGCCGGAUGCUCCAGUUGAUCGCAUGGUCUUCUGGGAAAGCUUUCGCGGUAUGGGAUGGGGUCGCGUCCUAUCAGCUUGACGGCGGGGUAACGGCCCACCGUGGCUUCGACGGGUAGCCGGCCUGAGAGGGCGACCGGCCACAUUGGGACUGAGAUACGGCCCAGACUCCUACGGGAGGCAGCAGUGGGGAAUAUUGCACAAUGGGCGCAAGCCUGAUGCAGCGACGCCGCGUGAGGGAUGGAGGCCUUCGGGUUGUAAACCUCUUUUAUCGGGGAGCAAGCGAGAGUGAGUUUACCCGUUGAAUAAGCACCGGCUAACUACGUGCCAGCAGCCGCGGUAAUACGUAGGGUGCAAGCGUUAUCCGGAAUUAUUGGGCGUAAAGGGCUCGUAGGCGGUUCGUCGCGUCCGGUGUGAAAGUCCAUCGCUUAACGGUGGAUCCGCGCCGGGUACGGGCGGGCUUGAGUGCGGUAGGGGAGACUGGAAUUCCCGGUGUAACGGUGGAAUGUGUAGAUAUCGG